This 1745-nucleotide long non-coding RNA is filed under the name Bemisia tabaci. Its description in RNAcentral is "lncRNA ENSSSA1NGG014073". Lineage: Eukaryota; Metazoa; Arthropoda; Insecta; Hemiptera; Aleyrodidae. The record is from RNAcentral.
GGACGUUUAAUGGGAUUCGUCCCAAGUUUGAAUCACAGGAAUGGAACUUCUAGGCUUUUUCUCCAUUAAACAAAACAACAAAGUUUCCUCUUCUUCUCUUUGAGUCGAUUUAGGACUUCAUAAAGACUUUGCCUGGUACUGUGAUUGUAUAGACUAACUUAAUAUUUUUCUCAACUUCGCGAUCGCGAGUGAGAUUUUUUCCUAAGACAAAUCCCAUUCAACGCCCGAGGAGACGAGGUGUUAAACCAUAAAUCAUAGUUAUGAAAGGAUUUGAUUUGCACUCCAAAUUGGUUCUCUCAAUAGCGUCAAAAAAAAAAAUUCAGGAAAAAAUUGACGCUGCAGAGAAGCGAGCGUGGUAGAGAUGACGUCAGUGCCAAUCUCGCGGGAAGAGGAAGCCAAGAGCAUCCGUUAAAAAGUGAAAAGAGAGCACCGGCAUUUUGUUCUCGUGCCAAAGAAAUGUGAGCCUCUGAUGUCAAAUAGUGCAGGAUAUGACUGAAUAUUCCGCCUUAAUGUCAGAGACUACUCCUCUGUCAUCAACGAACAGCCUGGCAGUGCCACGCAAAAAAGACACGCGUAUGAGUGACGCUGCUUUGGGACCUUGUUUCAUGAUUUGCAUCUAUGCUGUUCCCUGUUGCCAUAUACGCAUCGUCCGACCUAAUGUGCUCCGAUUUGGCAACUGCGUAUCGGUAGUGUGCGAAUCUAUAUCAGUGAUCAGCGUGGUCUCUUCUCUCAAUAUUCUUGAGCUUGUGCCCCCCUUGAACUUGACCCCGAUUUCGACUGGUUAGAAUAAUUAGGUACCUACUGGUUUGCGGCAUUGUCUCGAGUUGCUAAAAGCGACAUUAGGGUGAGUCUCCGUACUUUCAAAAGCAACAGCUUUCCCUCACCUUGCUUCGGAGGUGUAGUCCCUAUUAAGCCCUCUUCCACUGUUGAAAUGUAUUUAUCGCCGCACUUUGAAAAAGAUUCAGCCGCCAAAAUGUAUUGCAUUCAGGGCUUUUCAGACUUAAAGCAAAAAAUCUUUCUAUCGUCAAACUCUACUUUUAGGAGUCAAGAUAGCUUCUUCCAGGUUCUCCCCAUCGGAGCUGUACGAAAAGCUUCAACCACAUGUUUUGUAACUUGAGAACCAAUCUUCAGAAAUUUUCUUUAGGAGGUAUAUUGUGCAAAGAUAUCUCCUAGCGCGCUGCUCUUGCCUCCGGUGCGCAGCGCACCGUGCGCUAUCUUGCUCUCUCUUUCCGUCGCGGUUGCGAUUACUCCCUCCGGAGCAGGUGCCCUCCAAUUUUAUAAUAUGUCGCUCACUUAGAUCUCCUCAAUCAUGUUUUAAAUACAAUGAGAUGUUGUUUUUUUUUCGGGAAACUUAUAUAAUUUAAAAAAUCCUAAAUGCUGUAAAAGUGAGACUAGAAGUGCCUCGAAUAAAUGGCACAAUCGGGAGUUGAGAGCAAGGAGCCGUCUUCCUGCUCAUGGAUACUCUUAAAGAGCGGCGCCAAAAACGACCGUUUUUUGGAUUUGGGUCCGCGAGGAUUUUUCUGAAACCGGGCCCAAACGAUACCUUAUGAUACCCUAAAACUCUGGUAAAAAUUUCAGCUUGAGUAUACGCACAGUUUUUAGAAAUGGGGGGGGGGGGCAAAGUUGCCAAAACGCCAUCAUUCUGGACGGCAUUUUUACAGCAAAAAGACGGGAAAAUGGUCGAAAAAGAUGCACCUUUGAUGGAUUUUGGCUUUAAUGUUCUUAUUGGGCCUCUAAGCAUACAA